RNAcentral lists this ribosomal RNA (819 nucleotides) under uncultured eukaryote. Its description in RNAcentral is "SSU rRNA". It matches the Rfam family "Eukaryotic small subunit ribosomal RNA", at positions 629 to 1426 of the family's 1831-position model. The record is from RNAcentral.
CGGUGUUUAACUGGCGUGAUGUGGGACGUCCUACCGGUGGGCUUAGCCUCGCGAGGGGCGGCCCAACUAAUAUCCCGUCGCGGUGCUCUUUACUGAGUGUCGAGUCGGGCCGGUACGUUUACUUUGAACAAAUUAGAGUGCUUAAAGCAGGCUAUCCUCGCCUGAAUACUGCGUGCAUGGAAUAAUGGAAUAGGACCUCGGUUCUAUUUUGUUGGUUUUCGGAACCCCGAGGUAAUGAUUAAUAGGGACAGAUGGGGGCAUUCGUAUUGCGACGUUAGAGGUGAAAUUCUUGGAUCGUCGCAAGACGGACAGAAGCGAAAGCAUUUGCCAAAAAUGUUUUCAUUAAUCAAGAACGAAAGUUAGAGGUUCGAAGGCGAUCAGAUACCGCCCUAGUUCUAACCAUAAACGAUGCCAGCUAGCGAUCCGCCGAAGUUCCUCCGAUGACUCGGCGGGCAGCUUCCGGGAAACCAAAGCUUUUGGGUUCCGGGGGAAGUAUGGUUGCAAAGCUGAAACUUAAAGGAAUUGACGGAAGGGCACCACCAGGAGUGGAGCCUGCGGCUUAAUUUGACUCAACACGGGAAACCUCACCAGGCCCAGACACCGGAAGGAUUGACAGAUUGAUAGCUCUUUCUUGAUUCGGUGGGUGGUGGUGCAUGGCCGUUCUUAGUUGGUGGAGCGAUUUGUCUGGUUAAUUCCGAUAACGAACGAGACUCUAGCCUGCUAAAUAGGCGUACCUUAUGGUAUCGCGAAGGCCCCCGGCUUCAGCCGGUGGGUUUUUACUACCAACGUACAAACAAAUCUUCUUAGAGGGACAGGCGG